This is a long non-coding RNA of Bufo bufo (common toad), 158 nucleotides long. RefSeq lists it as uncharacterized. NCBI's taxonomy places the organism in Eukaryota, Metazoa, Chordata, Amphibia, Anura, Bufonidae. The transcript has 3 exons. The record is from RefSeq and is a predicted model, not a curated record.
CACUGUCAGUGUGUGGUCAGUGAAUUCCAUCAGUAAUUCUAAGUCAAAACCAGGUGCGGCUCUAAACACAGAACAGGUGCAGAUCUUUCCCUUAUACCUUAUGUCUGUGGAGGCUCCAAUCCUGGUUUUAGCUCAAGCACACAAACAUAUUUUUUCCC